Molecule: ribosomal RNA, 478 nt
Filed under: uncultured bacterium
Lineage: Bacteria
Description: partial 16S ribosomal RNA
Rfam family: Bacterial small subunit ribosomal RNA
Source: RNAcentral
GACGAACGCUGGCGGCGUGCUUAACACAUGCAAGUCGAACGGUAAGGCCCUUCGGGGUACACGAGUGGCGAACGGGUGAGUAACACGUGGGUGAUCUGCCCUGCACUUCGGGAUAAGCCUGGGAAACUGGGUCUAAUACCGGAUAGGACUCCUGGCUUCAUGGUUGGGGGUGGAAAGCUUUUGCGGUGUGGGAUGGGCCCGCGGCCUAUCAGCUUGUUGGUGGGGUAAUGGCCUACCAAGGCGACGACGGGUAGCCGGCCUGAGAGGGUGACCGGUCACACUGGGACUGAGAUACGGCCCAGACUCCUACGGGAGGCAGCAGUGGGGAAUAUUGCACAAUGGGCGCAAGCCUAAUGCAGCGACGCCGCGUGAGGGAUGACGGCCUUCGGGUUGUAGACCUCUUUCAGCUAUGACGAAGCGCAAGUGACGGUAGUAGCAGAAGAAGGACCGGCCAACUACGUGCCAGCCGCCGCUGUAA